AACGAACGCUGGCGGCGUGCCUAACACAUGCAAGUCGAGCGCGAAUGGAGCAAUCCUAGUAGAGCGGCGCACGGGUGCGUAACACGUGGGUAAUCUGCCUCAAAGCCCGGGAUAACCUGCCGAAAGGCAAGCUAAUACCGGAUAAGCCUACGGACUCUUCGGGGUCUGAAGGAAAAGGUGGCCUCUGUAUACAAGCUAUCACUUUGAGAUGAGCCCGCGGCCCAUCAGCUCGUUGGCGGGGUAACGGCCCACCAAGGCAACGACGGGUAGCUGGUCUGAGAGGACGAUCAGCCACACUGGAACUGAGACACGGUCCAGACUCCUACGGGAGGCAGCAGUGGGGAAUUUUGGACAAUGGGCGAAAGCCUGAUCCAGCCAUGCCGCGUGUGUGAAGAAGGCC
RNAcentral lists this ribosomal RNA (400 nucleotides) under uncultured bacterium. RNAcentral describes it as "bacterial SSU rRNA". It matches the Rfam family "Bacterial small subunit ribosomal RNA", at positions 29 to 416 of the family's 1533-position model. The record is from RNAcentral.